AUGGAGCAAAGCGUGCUGAUAACGUGUUCCGCAGAGGCGGUGCAGGCGGCGGUGCCGGUGCAGGUGGUGGUCUUGGCGGAGGCGCAGGAAGCGGUGCCUGUGGUGGCCUUAGAGGUGGUUCAGGUGGAGGAGGAGGACUCGGUGGUGGUGCCGGAGGAGGUUCAGGUGGUGGACUCGGAGGUGGUGCCGGUUCCGGUGGUGGACUUGGAGGUGGCGCCGGAGGAGGUGCCGAUUCAGGUGGUCUCGAAUUGGUUCAUCAACACCCGCGUCCGGCUGUGGAAGCCCAUGAUCAAGGAGAUGUACCAGCAGGAGACCAAUGAGCUUGAGGGCACCUCCGCCGGCGGCCGCAGGGGCGGUCCCGAGUCUGGCGCCGACGACUUGCACUCCCCGACGACCACCGGCGCGCAGCAGCACCCGCAGCAGCAAAUAGUAAUGCAGCACGGCGGCGGCAGGUACGGCCAACAAGAGCACGGGACGUCCGGCGUCCACCCCCAUAAGCUCGACCCCGGCGCAGGGCCCUUGGUGGCGGACGCCGCCUUCGUCGGCCUUGACCCGGCGGAGCUCCUUGGCGGCGACGUGCACGUGGGUGCCGCGGACGACCUGGGAGGUUCGAGCCCGGGGUGA
Molecule: ribosomal RNA, 624 nt
Filed under: Triticum aestivum (bread wheat)
Lineage: Eukaryota; Viridiplantae; Streptophyta; Magnoliopsida; Poales; Poaceae
Description: partial small subunit ribosomal RNA
Source: RNAcentral